This 2316-nucleotide ribosomal RNA is filed under the name Triticum aestivum (bread wheat). RNAcentral describes it as "partial small subunit ribosomal RNA". The record is from RNAcentral. Lineage: Eukaryota; Viridiplantae; Streptophyta; Magnoliopsida; Poales; Poaceae.
AUGCGCCGAACUGCCGAAGGAGCCGCAGUUGCUGGAUCGAGUGGAGACGGAGACGCGCGAGCCACCGGCCGGAGUCAACGCACUGAGCACGGUCGACGGCAGCAACAGCAAGUGAUCAACGUGAGUGUGAUGGCAGAACAAAGUUCUCGUAUUUCGCAUUCAGACACCUCCCCUUACAACGCUUCGAACUUGGAGAAGGACAGUCAUGAUGGGCAACAGCUCCCCGACCAGCAGCAGAAGGAGACGACCGAGGCUGAGAAGAAUACAGAAAAUGCCAAGAAAAGGAAGGAAAUGGCUCCACGGUCGGAAGUUUGGAAUCAUUUUAGCAAGGAAGUAAAUGCCACGACAGCAACAUGCAACUAUUGCAAAAGUGAGCUUGCUUGUGGUUCUAAAAGGAAUGGUACAUCAUCCUUGUUGAAGCAUUUGACAACCUGCAAGAGAAAUCCUCAUAGCAACAAGGAUGACAAGCAACCAACUCUACAAGCUACUCCGAAUCAGGGGGAUGCUAGUAAGUGUUCACUCACUACCUGGAGAUUUGAUCAGGAUAAGCUUAGAGAUGCUUUGGCUGAAAUGGUAAUUGUGGAUGAGCUUCCGUUUGCAUUUGUUGAGAAGCCAGGAUUUAGAAGGUUUGUGGCAAAGGCUUGUCCUCGUUUCAAUGUCCCAUCCAGGAGGACGGUUACUAGAGAUUGUGUCCGCAUUCAUUAUAGGGAGAAAGUCAAGCUAAAGAAAUUCUUCAAAGAAUCUUGUGAAAGAGUUUGUGUAACUACCGACACAUGGACAUCUUCCCAAAAGCAGAAUUUUAUGUGUGUGACAGCCCAUUUUAUUGACAAUGACUGGGUUCUGCAUAAGUGGAUCAUUGGGUUUUUCUUGGUGAGGGGUCAUAAGGGGGAAGACAUUGGGAAGGACCUGGAGAAGUGUUUGGUUGAGUGGGGCAUAGAUAAGGUGUUUUCAGUAACAGUUGACAAUGCCUCACCAAAUGAUGGAGCAGUAAGCUACAUAAAGAGGAUCAUGAACAGUGCCAAUGCAAGCAUAGGGAGAGGAGAAUAUAUGCACAUGAGAUGUGCUGCUCACAUUCUGAACUUGAUAGUUACCGAUGGGCUAAAAGAGUUGGAUAUCUCGGUGAAGCGAGUCCGUGCUGCAGUCAAGUUUGUUAAGAAUUCUCCAGCUAGAAUUACUAAGUUCAAGAAGUGUGCUGAAUUAGAGAAAUUGGCAAAUAAAGGUUUCUUGUCACUUGAUGUAUGCACUAGAUGGAACUCCACAUUCUUAAUGCUGAAAGCUGCAGCCACAUAUGAGAAGGUGUUCGUGAGGUAUGAAGAAGAGGACCCAUACUUUGCAAUUGAGCUAAAUGGCGACAAAAUGCCAGGAGUGCCUCAACCAGAAGAUUGGGAUAAUGCUUCAAAGAUGGCAGAGUUUCUUGAGCAUUUCUAUAAGCUUACCCUUCGUGUUUCAGCCUCAAAUCAUUGCACAUCUCACAUCUUCUUCCAUCAAAUUGCUGAUAUCAUUGUCUUGCUGAGGGCUUGGUGUGGAAGUGGAGACCCUUUGCGGAGAGAGAUGGGAGAAAGGAUGCUGGACAAGUACAACAAGUAUUGGGCAGAUCACAAGAGCUUCAACAUCUUGAUCUUUGUGGCUGUUGCUCUUGAUCCAAGAUACAAGUUGUCAAAUUACAUCAAGAUUGCAACUUUUGAAAUGUUUGGGCAGAUCAAUGGAGAGGAAGUGUGGACAAAAAUGAAUACAACUCUUACAAAUCUGUUCCAAGAGUAUUUUAAGUUAUAUGGUCCAACUGAGCAAGAAGUGCAGCCUGAUGAUGCACCUAGCUUUGAAGAGGACAGCAGCGAAAGCUUGAUGAGUUCCUUGAUUGCAAAGAGAAUGAGAAUGAAUGACUGUGGAAUCAGCAUUAGCCCUUCGAAGUCUGAACUUGAAAAGUAUCUUACAGAGGAUAAUGAAGCAAACAGCAGCAAAUUCAACAUUCUUGAGUGGUGGAAGGUCAACUCAUCUAGAUUCCCUGUGCUAUCACGUUUAGCUCGUGAUGUCCUAGCUUUCCCGAUAUCUACAGUCGCAUCAGAGUCAGCUUUUAGCACCGGUGGACGCAUUCUUGAUGAGUUCCGAAGCUCGCUCACUCCAUUCAUGGUGCAGGCACUAAUUUGUACUCAGGAUUGGUUGCGAAGAGAAAUUCCUGUUAACAAUGAAGAGAAUGAAGAGCUACUUGCCAACCUAGAGGAUGCGAUACUUCAAGAAUUGUCUGAUCUGAGCGUUGCUAAUGCUAAGUCCGGUACAAGUGCUGGUGUCCACAUCACCAUUGAUGACAUCGAAUCAUAA